Molecule: ribosomal RNA, 505 nt
Filed under: uncultured bacterium
Lineage: Bacteria
Description: partial 16S ribosomal RNA
Rfam family: Bacterial small subunit ribosomal RNA
Source: RNAcentral
ACUCAAAGGAAUUGACGGGGGUUCGCACAAGCGGUGGAACAUGUGGUUUAAUUCGACACUACGCGAAGAACCUUACCUGGGCUUGACAUGUAUUUGACCGUUAUAGAAAUAUAAUUUUCCGAGCUUCGGUUCGGACAGAUACACAGGUGCUGCAUGGCUGUCGUCAGCUCGUGUCGUGAGAUGUUGGGUUAAGUCCUCUAACGAGCGCAACCCUUGCUAUCAGUUGCUCAUUGCUUUGCAGUAGCACUCUGAUGGGACCGCCUGGGAAACCAGGAGGAAGGUGGGGACGACGUCAAGUCAUCAUGGUCCUUAUGUCCAGGGCUACACACGUGUUACAAUGGUCGAUACAACGGGCUGCAAUUCCGUAAGGAGGAGCUAAUCCUAAAAGUCGAUCUAAGUUCGGAUUGAGGUCUGCAACUCGACCUCAUGAAGUUGAAAUCGCUAGUAAUCGCGUAUCAGCAACGACGCGGUGAAUACGUUCACGAACCUUGUACACACCGCCCGU